RNAcentral lists this ribosomal RNA (674 nucleotides) under uncultured Micavibrio sp. Its description in RNAcentral is "bacterial SSU rRNA". It matches the Rfam family "Bacterial small subunit ribosomal RNA", at positions 94 to 803 of the family's 1533-position model. Lineage: Bacteria; Pseudomonadati; Bdellovibrionota; Bdellovibrionia; Bdellovibrionales; Pseudobdellovibrionaceae. The record is from RNAcentral.
AGUGGCGCACGGGUGAGUAACGCGUGGGAAUGUACCUCUGGGUGCGGAACAACGUCGGGAAACUGACGCUAAUACCGCAUAAUAUCUUCGGAUCAAAGAUUUAUCGCCCAGAGAUCAGCCCGCGUUAGAUUAGCUAGUUGGGGGGGUAAAAGCUUACCAAGGCGACGAUCUAUAGCUGGUCUGAGAGGAUGAUCAGCCACACUGGGACUGAGACACGGCCCAGACUCCUACGGGAGGCAGCAGUUAGGAAUAUUGGACAAUGGGGGAAACCCUGAUCCAGCCAUGCCGCGUGUGUGACGAAGGCCUUAGGGUUGUAAAGCACUUUCGUCCGCGAAGAUAAUGACAGUAACGGAAGAAGAAGCUCCGGCUAAAUUCGUGCCAGCAGCCGCGGUAAUACGAAUGGAGCGAGCGUUGUUCGGAAUCACUGGGCGUAAAGCGUGCGCAGGCGGUUGUGAAAGUCAGGAGUGAAAUCCCUGGGCUCAACCCAGGAAUUGCUUUUGAAACUUCACGACUAGAGUACUGGAGGGGUUGGCGGAAUUUCGAGUGUAGCAGUGAAAUGCGUAGAUAUUCGAAGGAACACCGAUGGCGUAGGCAGCCAACUGGACAGUUACUGACGCUCAUGCACGAAAGCGUGGGGAUCAAACAGGAUUAGAUACCCUGGUAGUCCACGCCGU